GUUAGCAGAUGUGACGGAAACAGGAGCUUGAAAUGUGCUUUAGGCAUGCAGUUGGGCAUACUCUCCUGUGCCUCUGCCAACUUCAUGAAAAGAACUUCCUUUGGAAGCUGUUGGCCCUUCGGCUUGGGUCCCAUAAUGAGAGAUAUGGACCUGACCUGAGCUGGUUGGAUCUGCAGAGCUGACUAACCAAGCCUGACCUACAUCAGCUGACUUCCAACUGACCUGCAGGGGCCAUGGAAUUGCAGACUAGGAAGGGCCUUUAGAAGUUAUCUUGUUCAGGCAGACCAAAGUCACCCCAUCACUCCUUGAAUAGAUAACUCAAGGACGGGCACAGACACUAAGAAGUGGCUGAAAUCCUUGUGUCCAGAUGAGCACACACCUGGUGGCGAGGGCGGCCCACGAUGGAAGGAAAAACAGCUCGGGGGGCGUC
Molecule: long non-coding RNA, 430 nt
Organism: Phyllostomus discolor (pale spear-nosed bat)
Lineage: Eukaryota; Metazoa; Chordata; Mammalia; Chiroptera; Phyllostomidae
Exons: 3
Source: RefSeq, a predicted model, not a curated record